This 708-nucleotide ribosomal RNA is filed under the name Gordonia sp. DBQ_2Q. RNAcentral's name for it is "bacterial SSU rRNA". It matches the Rfam family "Bacterial small subunit ribosomal RNA", at positions 731 to 1438 of the family's 1533-position model. The record is from RNAcentral. Lineage: Bacteria; Bacillati; Actinomycetota; Actinomycetes; Mycobacteriales; Gordoniaceae.
GGGUAGUAACUGACGGUGAGGAGCGAAAGCGUGGGUAGCGAACAGGAUUAGAUACCCUGGUAGUCACGCCGUAAACGGUGGGUACUAGGUGUGGGGCUCAUUUCACGAGUUUCGUGCCGUAGCUAACGCAUUAAGUACCCCGCCUGGGGAGUACGGCCGCAAGGCUAAAACUCAAAGGAAUUGACGGGGGCCCGCACCAGCGGCGGAGCAUGUGGAUUAAUUUGAUGCAACGCGAAGAACCUUACCUGGGUUUGACAUACCCCAGACGCAGCCAGAGAUGGUUGUUUCCUUGUGGUUGGUGUACAGGUGGUGCAUGGCUGUUGUCAGCUUGUGUUGUGAGAUGUUGGGUUAAGUCCCGCAACGAGCGCAACCCUUGUCCUGUAUUGCCAGCGGGUUAUGCCGGGGACUUGCAGGAGACUGCCGGGGUCAACUUGGAGGAAGGUGGGGAUGACGUCAAGUCAUCAUGCCCCUUAUGUCCAGGGCUUCACACCUGGUACAAUGGCCGGUACAGAGGGGUGGGAUACCGUGAGGUGGAGGGAAUCCCUUAAAGCCGGUUUCAGUUCGGAUCGGGGUUUGCAACUUGACCCCGUGAAGUUGGAGUCGGUAGUAAUUGCAGAUCAGCAACGGUGCGGUGAAUACGUUCCCGGGCCUUGUACACACCGCCCGUCAAGUCAUGAAAGUUGGUAACACCCGAAGCCGGUGGCCUAA